RNAcentral lists this long non-coding RNA (1096 nucleotides) under Vigna radiata. RNAcentral describes it as "long non-coding RNA (VRAD_LNC012364)". The record is from RNAcentral. Lineage: Eukaryota; Viridiplantae; Streptophyta; Magnoliopsida; Fabales; Fabaceae.
UUUUAUUGUAAUAUAAAUAUAACAUAAGUUGAACAUAAAUAGAAGUUCUGUAGUCUACUUCACAGCGAUAUUUGGGUGUUAACAUUACAGAUACAUCCAUUAAUGUGCACUUCUACAGCAAUGUCAUGGACAUGGUUCUGAACUUUAAAGACAAGAACGUCUCCUUCCUUCAAGCCAUAUUCACUGCAAAAAUCUCUCCAUCAUUUUCCAAACUUCGUUGAAUUCCUAGUAUGUGAAACCAAAACCUUGCACCGGAUGCCCUCCUUAUGACCAAGAAGCACAACCUCUGUAAAGUCAUUGUUCCUGAUUGCAUUCCCAAAAUUGGUUCUCAAAUCCUGCAAAAGAUCCAAUAAUAAGUGAUUGUAUAAUAGUCAUGCAAAACAAACAUUAAAAUAACAUACAUUAAAUACUAACUUUCAAACUUUAUACAUCAUCCAUUCCAAUAACACAUAAAAUUUUAUCUUACAGUAGGUUUUGUUGAAGCCAUUGGACCUGCAGUGAUAACAAUGCCCACAAAUAUAUAACUUAGGUUUCGCUUAAAAAUAAAUACCUCUUUAUUAAAAAGCAGAUUAGAAAAGGUCCAUUCUUGCACUUACCCGAAAAGCAAAUCACCACCCAAACCACUAAAGUGAUGGUCCGAGAACGAGAAUGCUGCGACGACGAUAACGACACGAAAGAGGUUUCGCCUGACACCCACAACGACAAUGAUGGUCCGAGAACGAGAACAACCUUUCACAAUGACAACGCUUGAGAAAACUUGGAGAAGGAGGCCAGCGAAGAGACGUAGGGAGAUGAGAGAACCGUCAGAGAGCACGAAAAUGAAAAAUGAAAGAGAGUGCCAAAACUAAAACCCCACACUAUACAUUCCAUCUUUGCCCCUCACUUAUUCCAUCUUUGCCCCUCAGCAGAUUUAACAAUGUCAUUUUUAAAAAAUUAAAAACCACCCAAUCAGACAAUGACACCUGCCCAAUGUUAAAAGAGUGUCAAAAUUGGGUGUUAAAGUAACAUUUUCCUUUCCCUUUUAGGUCGCAUCAAAACUAGUAAGUAGUUAGCAAUUGAUUCUCUCAUAAAAAAGGUAUUUCUUGAUUCUCAUUCU